AUUGGUACUACAUGAACACCACGUAGAAACUGUGAUGUUCUUACAUUCACUGCUACUCUGAAAUAAGGGAUACAGCCAGGCAUUCUGCGCAUAGCAAAUACAAUAAUAAGAACAAGACGAGAAGAACUUUGAUGCAUGAAGGAUUUUGAUACAUAAUUGAGAGAUUUUUUUUGUGGGAUGAUGUCUUCCAGAGUAUUUAUGCAGUGUCUUACAUUUUUAAGCAAAUGUAUAAACAAUAAACAAUCUUCUUCAUCAGUGUCACUGUAUCCUAUUGUGUAAGUCCCUGGGGCACUAUAAAUAAAGGUUAUCUUGCAAUCAUCAACAACAAACAGAUGAAGAAGGAUUUCCCCACUGACAUUUAUGAAGUUUUCAGUAGUGUUUUGAUUUGAUUCAGCAUUUUUGAUAGUAAGUUAGUGUUUACUUGCUUGAGAUGUUCAAAGGCAAGCAAUUCUAUCAGGUUCACAAAUCCCACAACUCCCUGAAGGACUUCAGGAUCUUGCUGCGCUAUUUGGAAAUCACACUUCAAUCCACUGCUCUCCAGGGUACAUUUGAAACUUCACUUGUGUUGAAACUUGUGUCAGGGCUAUCUGUAGAUUCCUUCUUGCACUUGUUGGUGAAAGAGCUGAGUACUGAUUGCCUUCCGUGAGCACCUUUGGACUUCAGGGGGAGGAUAAUACAGGAGGUAAAGCAAUUUCCAGAAAUGAAUAAGGAAUUACAGUCCUGCAUCUAAUGGACCUUCUAGUUGCCCACUUCACUUUGGAAAAGAGGCUUGUGGUAUGGGAGUCAACUGCAGUGGGUAAUAUGUGGCAACCUCAAGCCUCUUUGAGAGUUUAUGAUUUUUUUUGAUGGUGAUGGGUUAAUUGCAUGUUAAGAAACUCAGACCUCCUUUAGCUUCCAGACCUGUAUAUCUAUAUUAGCUCAAAGUAGUUAUUUGUUUUGACAAGCCAUGGGACCUUUUCAGCAGCAAUCCUGGCAAUGGGCGUAACAGCCAUGCCAAGAAGAAUAAUCCACCUUUACGAAUAGCAUCACUGUCUCUAAACUGAAUUCCAGUUAUUUUGGUGACUGAUCCUUCUCAAAAAGCCUGAGACUUGUGGAUUUUUGAAAAUACUGAAAUUUGACAUCUAAAAGCGCAAGGGUAGAUAGGCUAUACUUAAUCCAUUCACCAAGAGGUGCACAGUGCAGACACUCAUGCUAUCAGGAGAAAAGUCAAAUCAGAGUUGACCUAAUUCAUCAAAUUAAUUUGCCAUGAGCUAAUGAGCUGUGCAAACAUUUUGAGAUCAUCAAUUUAUGUGUAGCAAGGAGCUGUAUAUAAUGUGAUCAAAGCAGAUUAAUUUGGACCAAAUGUGCGCUUUGUUUUGGUCACACCAUGUACUUCAGAGUAACACUUGAUGAACCAAUCUGCACAAAAGGUCCUGCAUAGAACCAUUUCCUUCAGUGGAAAUCAGGUUAUAUAGAGGUCAAGUGAUGGGACAGGGUUUGGUGUAACCCAUGGUGCUGUGAUAAUGCUUCUUGGUGACCACCUCCUCUUACUGCUGUUCGUAUUCUAGCCGAGCUGCAGCAAGUCAG
Molecule: long non-coding RNA, 1566 nt
Organism: Numida meleagris (helmeted guineafowl)
Lineage: Eukaryota; Metazoa; Chordata; Aves; Galliformes; Numididae
Source: Ensembl